CACAGACCCCAAGAUGUCAAAGCAUCACAAUAAGAAGGUGCAUUUAAUAGAAGAAGGAUGAGCACAUGAGCUGGCACCUAUGGUGGUCAUAUGCCUUCGGAGCAUUGGAUAACAAGUCUUCAAGAAAGGAGGAGAAAAUGGACUUCAGCGAAUGAAAAAUAAAAGUUCCCAGAUCCCAGGGACUUUCAGGCUGCUCCCACCGCAGAGCUGGCCAGCGUCCUUUGAGGCAGAGAGAUGCU
This 239-nucleotide long non-coding RNA is filed under the name Gorilla gorilla gorilla (western lowland gorilla). Its description in RNAcentral is "lncRNA (ENSGGOG00000044355.1)". Lineage: Eukaryota; Metazoa; Chordata; Mammalia; Primates; Hominidae. The record is from RNAcentral.